CAGUCGCCGCGGGAAUACGAAGGGUGCAAGCGUUAAUCGGAAUUACUGGGCGUAAAGCGUGCGUAGGCGGUGAGUUAAGUCUGCUGUGAAAUCCCCGGGCUCAACCUGGGAAUGGCAGUGGAUACUGGCUCGCUAGAGUGUGUCAGAGGAUGGUGGAAUUCCCGGUGUAGCGGUGAAAUGCGUAGAGAUCGGGAGGAACAUCAGUGGCGAAGGCGGCCAUCUGGGGCAACACUGACACUGAGGCACGAAAGCGUGGGGAGCAAACAGGAUUAGAUACCCGGGUAGUCCCUGUCUCUUAUAC
This 301-nucleotide ribosomal RNA is filed under the name uncultured bacterium. Its description in RNAcentral is "partial 16S ribosomal RNA". It matches the Rfam family "Bacterial small subunit ribosomal RNA", at positions 509 to 807 of the family's 1533-position model. The record is from RNAcentral.